UUUUUAUGAUGAUAAAAAUUUAUUUCAGUUCUGCUUCUGAUUAAAAAACCAUGUUGAUAACACCUUUACCAAAAGCUUACUUAUCUGAGAC
RNAcentral lists this small nucleolar RNA (91 nucleotides) under Nadsonia fulvescens var. elongata DSM 6958. The record is from RNAcentral. Lineage: Eukaryota; Fungi; Ascomycota; Dipodascomycetes; Dipodascales.